This 253-nucleotide ribosomal RNA is filed under the name uncultured bacterium. RNAcentral's name for it is "partial 16S ribosomal RNA". It matches the Rfam family "Bacterial small subunit ribosomal RNA", at positions 524 to 776 of the family's 1533-position model. The record is from RNAcentral.
UACAGAGGGUGCAAGCGUUAAUCGGAAUUACUGGGCGUAAAGCGUGCGUAGACGGUUACAUAAGUCGGGUGUGAAAGCCCCGGGCUCAACCUGGGAAUUGCAUUCGAGACUGCGUAGCUAGGGUGCGGAAGAGGGAAGCGGAAUUUCCGGUGUAGCGGUGAAAUGCGUAGAUAUCGGAAAGAACACCGGUGGCGAAGGCGGUGGUCUGGGCCGAAACUGACGCUGAGGAGCGAAAGCCAGGGGAGCAAACGGG